Saimiri boliviensis boliviensis (Bolivian squirrel monkey) is the source of this 107-nucleotide small nuclear RNA. The record is from Ensembl. Lineage: Eukaryota; Metazoa; Chordata; Mammalia; Primates; Cebidae.
GUGCUUGCUUCAGCAGCACAUACAGUAAAAUUGGAGUGAUACAGAGAUGAUUAUUAUGACCCCUGCAUAAGGAUGACACACAAAUUCAUGAAGUGUUCCAUACUUUU